CCUACGGGAGGCAGCAGUGGGGAAUAUUGGGCAAUGGGCGCAAGCCUGACCCAGCAACGCCGCGUGAAGGAAGAAGGCCCUCGGGUUGUAAACUUCUUUUUUCAGGGACGAAGCAAGUGACGGUACCUGAGGAAUAAGCCACGGCUAACUACGUGCCAGCAGCCGCGGUAAUACGGAGGUGGCAAGCGUUAUCCGGAUUUACUGGGUGUAAAGGGCGUGUAGGCGGGGAGGCAAGUCAGAUGUGAAAACCACGGGCUCAACCUGUGGCCUGCAGUUGAAACUGUGUUUCUUGAGUACUGGGGAGGCAGACGGAAUUCGUAGUGUAGCGGUGAAAUGCGUAGAUAUUAGGAGGAACACCAGUGGCGAAGGCAGUCUGCUGGACAGCAACUGACGCUGAGGCGCGAAAGCGUGGGGAGCGAACAGGAUUAGAUACCCCAGUAGUC
Molecule: ribosomal RNA, 443 nt
Filed under: uncultured bacterium
Lineage: Bacteria
Description: partial 16S ribosomal RNA
Rfam family: Bacterial small subunit ribosomal RNA
Source: RNAcentral